Anguilla anguilla (European eel) is the source of this 135-nucleotide long non-coding RNA. RefSeq lists it as uncharacterized. Lineage: Eukaryota; Metazoa; Chordata; Actinopteri; Anguilliformes; Anguillidae. The record is from RefSeq and is a predicted model, not a curated record. The transcript is spliced from 2 exons.
GCAGAAGCCCCAGCUAAGGCAAUAACAACCCAUUUUCAUCUGUCGGGGAGCGAUGUCACUUUCAACAGCCUACACAGUACUGACAACCCUGGCCUAAACCCCCACAGGAGAAAGCCUAAGACAACAGUGGCAAGG